GGCGGCGUGCUUAACACAUGCAAGUCGAGCGGAAAGGCCCUUCGGGGUACUCGAGCGGCGAACGGGUGAGUAACACGUGAGUAACCUCCCCUAGGCUUUGGGAUAACCCUCGGAAACGGGGGCUAAUACCGAAUAUUCAUGUCGUGUGGCAUCACAUGGUGUGGAAAGUUUUUCGGCUUGGGAUGGGCUCGCGGCCUAUCAGCUUGUUGGUGGGGUGAUGGCCUACCAAGGCGACGACGGGUAGCCGGCCUGAGAGGGCGACCGGCCACACUGGGACUGAGACACGGCCCAGACUCCUACGGGAGGCAGCAGUGGGGAAUAUUGCACAAUGGGCGGAAGCCUGAUGCAGCGACGCCGCGUGAGGGAUGAAGGCCUUCGGGUUGUAAACCUCUUUCGACAGGGACGAAGCGUGAGUGACGGUACCUGGAGAAGAAGCGCCGGCCAACUACGUGCCAGCAGCCGCGGUAAGACGUAGGGCGCGAGCGUUGUCCGGAUUUAUUGGGCGUAAAGAGCUCGUAGGCGGCUUGUUGCGUCAGCUGUGAAAACCCGCAGCUCAACUGUGGGCUUGCAGCUGAUACGGGCAGGCUUGAGUUCGGUAGGGGAGACUGGAAUUCCUGGUGUAGCGGUGAAAUGCGCAGAUAUCAGGAGGAACACCGGUGGCGAAGGCGGGUCUCUGGGCCGAUACUGACGCUGAGGAGCGAAAGCGUGGGGAGCGAACAGGAUUAGAUACCCUGGUAGUCCACGCUGUAAACGUUGGGCGCUAGGUGUGGGGGGCCUCUCCGGUUCUCUGUGCCGCAGCUAACGCAUUAAGCGCCCCGCCUGGGGAGUACGGCCGC
RNAcentral lists this ribosomal RNA (836 nucleotides) under Dactylosporangium sp. IM-7021. RNAcentral describes it as "bacterial SSU rRNA". It matches the Rfam family "Bacterial small subunit ribosomal RNA", at positions 38 to 889 of the family's 1533-position model. The record is from RNAcentral. Lineage: Bacteria; Bacillati; Actinomycetota; Actinomycetes; Micromonosporales; Micromonosporaceae.